RNAcentral lists this ribosomal RNA (253 nucleotides) under uncultured bacterium. Its description in RNAcentral is "partial 16S ribosomal RNA". It matches the Rfam family "Bacterial small subunit ribosomal RNA", at positions 524 to 776 of the family's 1533-position model. The record is from RNAcentral.
UACGUAGGGGGCGAGCGUUGUCCGGAGUUACUGGGCGUAAAGGGCGCGCAGGCGGUCUGUUUUGUUUGAGGUGACAGUGUCCAGCUUACCUGGACAAGUGCUUCAAAGACGGGCAGACUUGAGGGCCUCAGAGGGAUAGGGAAUUCCAGGUGGAGCGGUGAAAUGCGUAGAGAUCUGGAGGAACACCCAAGGCGAAGGCACUAUCCUGGGAGGCAACUGACGCUGAGGCGCGAAAGCCAGGGGAGCGAACGGG